Macrobrachium nipponense is the source of this 1636-nucleotide long non-coding RNA. RefSeq lists it as uncharacterized. The transcript is spliced from 2 exons. The record is from RefSeq and is a predicted model, not a curated record. Lineage: Eukaryota; Metazoa; Arthropoda; Malacostraca; Decapoda; Palaemonidae.
UACACGAUUAUAACAACAAAAUAUUGUACGAUGCUGUUUGAGAACGGACUGGACAUUGGACAAGACUUCAAAAAUCAAAAUUAAACCAGGAAAAUCAGUAUUCAGUAGUAGUAAAAGCUGUCUUGAGUCUUUGAAAAGCUCCCCUUGUUCGUUUUACUUUUGCCUUCGGUUGUGCUCGUUUGAGGAUAUUUUCUCGGUGACUCCAUAGUUUUCAAUUAAAGUCUUGCCUUCUUUUAAUUUUCUCUUUAGGCAGAUCUGAGAAAAGUAAGAAGUUGACCAUUAGUUUCUGUUCAUCUUUCUGAUGUGGCUGUUCAGCUGUUGCACGAAUCUGUUUCUCUUCCCGAUAUUGCUGUAUUCCGGUAAAAAAUAAAGUUUUCGGUGCCUUUUUCAUAACAUAAGCAUGUAGUAUCUUCCAAUUUAAUAUUUUCAUGUCAUUUAGUUCCAGUCUGCUAAUCAGCAUACUUUUUUUCGGUUGAUCGUACCAAGUUUCCUCGUAUGUUUUUUUUUUUUCCUCUUGAAAUUUUCUAUAGAUUUUCAUUAUUAGUUUUUUAACUUCUCUUUUUAAAGAUUUUUUUUAUUCCGGAAUCUAAUGAAUUCGUAAUAUUUUUUCUUUAAUUGAUGUGAUUCUGCUUAAAUUUAAGUCUAACUUUUUUAUUUUCUUUAAUGUGCCAAAUAUUUUCUUACUGGUUAACGUUAUUUCACCUAGAAACCUAUUCCGGCCACUCUGGAGGAUGCACUUCAGAUAGAAUAGAGGGUUUCUUAUCUCAAUGCACAAUUUUCUGUAUACCUUGGUGCUUUUACUGUUGCCAUGUAAACUUGAUUGCCAAUUUUUCGCAAUUAAUUUGGCCUUGCUAAUCCCAUCAUUAGUGCAGUUUUCCACCAAUGUCGCUGCUACAGCUUUUACUAGAGAACAGCCGAAGCCAAAGUACGUUUGGGAAUUUGCUGACUCCAGACGCUCCUAUCUCAGGUUAACACUUGGAGAAGAAGAGGACAAUCGAUUGCCAUCUCCUGUGUUCUGGUCUCCAGGCAUAGCAAUAAUUUAGCCACCAUGAUUUUUAAGGGAAAAAAUUUGCUAGGAGUUGGUGCUGGUUUUUACAGUUGUUGCUUUUCUUAUUUUAAGAUUAAUUCUGUUGCUACUGUCUUCACAGGGUCCUUUCCCACACGUCUUGUUGGAAAGCUCUUCAUGAUGAAGUUAACAUUCGCUUAGAAAUUUUAACCAAUUGUUUUUGUUCAAAGGUAGUUUAUAAACCCUAAAUAAAUGACUAAACAAAGGAGAUUUUUCAAACUAUGUAAUAGUACUCCCACGGUAACCUAACUUCUUUUCUGUCAAGUUCAUAAUGUUAUGACAACUAUUUUUGAACAAAAUUGGUCGUUCAGAAACAUCUCAAUGUUUUGAACGUUAAACGUGUUCGUUAAUCAUUCCCUACCCCGGACGAUUGGCUCGCUUUUCAGAUUUAAAGAUCACUUUGUGCUGUGAAGUUCUCCGGGGUAGGUCUAAGUCUUCGUGCCCCAAGUGGAACUCGAGGACUUAUGUUAGAACCACUCUAAACAACUCUUUCAUUCUGAUUCUAACAGUUUAGUGCGUUAAUAUUUGAUUGUGUAUUAUAGUUUGAAUUUAUUAAAUUUUAUUGUCAAU